RNAcentral lists this ribosomal RNA (464 nucleotides) under uncultured bacterium. RNAcentral describes it as "bacterial SSU rRNA". It matches the Rfam family "Bacterial small subunit ribosomal RNA", at positions 8 to 507 of the family's 1533-position model. The record is from RNAcentral.
AGAGUUUGAUCAUGGCUCAGGAUGAACGCUGGCGGCAUGCCUAAAACAUGCAAGUCGAGCGGUAAGGCCCCUUCGGGGGUACACGAGCGGCGGACGGGUGAGUAACGCGUGGGAAUCUACCCCAAACUGAGGGAUAAGCAUUAGAAACGAUGUCUAAUACCGCAUAUGGUCUUCGGAUUAAAGCUUCGGCGGUUUGGGAAGAGCCCGCGUAAGAUUAGCUAGUUGGUGAGGUAAAGGGCUCACCAAGGCGACGAUCUUUAACUGGUUUGAGAGGAUGAUCAGUCACACUGGAACUGAGACACGGUCCAGACUCCUACGGGAGGCAGCAGUUAGGAAUUUUCCACAAUGGGCGAAAGCCUGAUGGAGCAAUGCCGCGUGCAGGAUGAAGGCCUUAGGGUUGUAAACUGCUUUUAUACGUGAAGAAUAUGACGGUAACGUAUGAAUAAGGAUCGGCUAACUCCGUG